GAUGAACGCUAGCGACAGGCUUAACACAUGCAAGUCGAGGGGCAGCGGUGGUGAAGGCUUGCCUUCACCAGCCGGCGACCGGCGCACGGGUGAGUAACACGUAUGCAACCUGCCUGCCACAGCCGGAUAAUCGGGAGAAAUUCCGUCUAAUACGGCAUAAUGCAUCGACGGGACAUCCUGUUGGUGCCAAAGGUUAAUUCCGGUGGCGGAUGGGCAUGCGUCGCAUUAGUUAGUUGGCGGUGUAACGGACCACCAAGACGACGAUGCGUAGGGGUUCUGAGAGGAAGGUCCCCCACACUGGUACUGAGACACGGCCCAA
RNAcentral lists this ribosomal RNA (319 nucleotides) under uncultured bacterium. Its description in RNAcentral is "bacterial SSU rRNA". It matches the Rfam family "Bacterial small subunit ribosomal RNA", at positions 28 to 334 of the family's 1533-position model. The record is from RNAcentral.